Molecule: non-coding RNA, 4028 nt
Organism: Triticum urartu
Lineage: Eukaryota; Viridiplantae; Streptophyta; Magnoliopsida; Poales; Poaceae
Source: RefSeq, a predicted model, not a curated record
GGCCCCAACCCACUCCUCGCCUUCAUCCCUCGAGCCGGCCGCCGACUUCCUCCCUCCCGCCGGCCGUCAACUCCCUCCCGCGCGCCACUGCCAUCCUCCGCGCCGGUCUCCGCCUCCCUCCCGCGCGCCUGUCGCCGCCUCCUUCGCAUGCGCCACCACCGUGCCCCGCGCCGGUCAUCGCCUCCCUCUCGCGCGUCGGGCGCCGCCUUCCUCCACGCGCCAGCCACCGCCUUCCUCCCCGCGCCGCCCGUCUCCCUCCGAUGAUGCCGACCAGCCUGCCCCGGCGAAUCCAGGGCGAGCACCCUCCCCGAGCUACUCCAGGCGCAGAUCCUGCCACGAGUGCUCCCCGCGCACGGAUCUGGCCGGGCUCUGCGAGCAUAGACUGGUACAACCUGGACUCCGGCGCUGCUCCUCUCCCUGCACCCCGAUGCACCGGUGUUACCCCAGGCAUGGGAGCCAUCCCAGGGCCGAAAGAGGCUCGAGCUUCCUGCAGUUCUAGUAGAUAAGCUUGUCCGGCUCGCUCAGCCAGGUAAGCACAUGGGCUUCCCGCAGUUCAAGGACAGCAAAGUUUUUUUGACUGUGCACUGUAGGGAAAACCCCCACAGCCUAUCAUUUUAUUCCAACUCAUAAAGAUACAAUAUGUACAAGGUUAUGAAGAAUAACCCCAAAGAAAAAGCCUAAACUAAGGUACAUCAAGGUGAAAGAAAAAUACAUCAAGGGGGAAGAAAAGUUACCCAACAAACAAGGCUCUCCUUGAAUCUAGGCUUAAUCCUAAAGGAGAGAAGAGACAUGUCAUGAACAAAAAGUUCUCCUCCAAUGAUUGAAGCUGGGUCUAAUAUGCCUAAAGACUUUUGCAUUCCUGAUCAGCCAAAUAUUCCAGCAAGCAGUGAACACCACCUCAACAAAGAAAGGCUUGUUGAAAUCCUUUUUGGCAUUGACUACAAUUUCAGUCAUGUUGGUACCUUGAGACCAAUCAAUCUGAAGGUAAUUCCACACACACUGGCUAAAGAGACAAUUGAAAAAGAGGUGAUCCCUAUCUUCCCUGACCUGCAAAUGACAUAGCACACAAGAGAUCCCAUCUUCAAUAUGCCAAUGCCUUCUCUCAACCAUGUCCUUAGUAUUCAUCCUGUCCAUGAUCAUCAUCCAGGCAAAAACCUUUAGUUUCAAGGACAGCAAAGUUGUGGCACCAAGUCGAACUUGCCGCUGCACCAUCUUCACCAAGUCGAACUUGCUAGAACUUGCUGUUGCUCAACUUGAUCUCUCGGGUAGCUCAUCCAGCAAGACUGCUGAAAUGACCAAUCGAUCAGCAGCAUAAAGAUCACCAUCAGCGGUCCAAGUCGAGCUCUGGCUGUAGUCCAAGCCGAAAUGCGACCAACAUCUUCACCAAGCGUUGCACCCAUUGAGCAUCCACACACGGCCAAAUCCCGACGCCGCUCGUGAUCUCCGCCUCCAUCAGCUCCACUUCACCAAAGCUAUCGGUCCAAAUGAGGAGGUGUAGCCGGUCCACCCGAUCUCCGACGUCGUAUUCUACCUCCAAAAAUAUUCUUUUUCAGUUCAAUUCUUCGUCACAGGUUCACUGCUAUCACCCGUUUUUGUGAAUCUCUAUUGAAAAUUAGCUCAUGUUUUAGUGAAUGAGAAGCAGUUUGUACUUUUUGCUUGCGUGUUCAUGAGUAGUUUAAAAAGUGUGCUUGUUUCCUGCUUUGCUAUAACACUUGUUAGAUUGCUAUCCAAAAAAUGUCAUGUAUUCAUGGAUUUGAUGCUGGUGUAGCAGCCCAGCAUGUAUUUUAUCAUUAGUUCUUAAAAGGAAAGCUGAAUCAGUGCAGUGUGUGUGUUAAAAAAAUUAGGUUUAUAUUGUACGGUAGUUCAUUGUAUAGAAAAUUUUCAAUAGUUCCUGCUUUUCAGUUCAUCUACUUCCCCUUCGCAAGUCUAAUUAAUAGAAAUUCAAAUAUGAAAAUAGCAUCCAUUUUGUUAUGUUCAUCAUAUUCAACCAAUUUUGUAUGUACAGACUUGCAUAUGUUGAUUAGUAGGGUAGAUCUCUGUUGUAUAAGAAGCUAGAUGCUGAUUUGCACCUAUGCUCUAACAACAUUUUCAGUCAUCUUGAGUUUGUUGCCUAUAUCACUUCACAUCAUUUUCUCUUGUUGGUCCAGUGCAUGUCCCAGUGUCCCACAAUGAGUGGACAGGGGAGUUGUUGGGCGCUGCCAUCUUCACUAGCCGUAAUGCUAUGCGUGGCUACGGCCAUUGGUCAUCAUUAGUCGUUGACCGUUCUUCUUCACCACCUCCCUGAAGCACGAGGGAGGUUGGACGGACUGCAAGAAAGAAAAGCUCAGUUCUACAGACAACCCCCUCCGCCCACACGGACUACUUCCUCUGGUCCUCAUCCAGGUAUGGGGCUAACAUCAGUCCAACUAUUCCUCCCUUAUCCGUCCGAGCUCCUCUUGCCAUGCUCCUUCACGUAUGAGCUUUUUCUGGCACUGGUGCACGCCGCCACACAUUCAAAGAGUGUCUUGGAAAAAGUUCAGAAGUUUGGUUCCAUAAAAAAUUGCACUUGUUCAUCUCGAAAGAUCAUGAAAGUUGAGAAGUCAAGGUGCCUAGAACCUGCUUGAUGAAAUGACAACCUAAAUAAAUAUAUUACAGGUGCAAAUAUCAACUUAGCUCAGUUGUGCAUAUGACAGCAUGAUCUAACUUUCCCCCCAAUCUGAUGUGAUUUUGUUUGGAUCAAAUCGACUCACAGAAAAGUUGCACACAAAGACCAUCUUCUAAAAUGCAUUAAGAUCUAUUUCAUAAUUUGCGAGAUAAAGAAAUUUAUAUAGUACUUAUAGAUUUCAGAUUAUCGGAACAAGUUCUCAUACACGCCUUUUAGCUCUGUUACAACUUGCUAAAAGGGUUAGAAUGUUAUUGGUGUUGCAAAAAUAUCAGACGCUCUCAACUGAAUAAGAAGUGUGUAGCGCAAAGUUCAGGUAUAACUACUGCAAGAGUUCAAGAAUCGUUUCCUUCAUAAAUUAGUUUUCUUUUGGUUUAUUUGUUGUUCUGGGCAGUACAGACGUAGAGUCUUGUGUAGUACAUGUGUGUAUUGUACAUUGUAUAUUGUUAUCACUUACCAUACCAUCAUGGACAUAAAUAAGAGAGAUACAUAGAGUCGUUCUAUUAAAUAGUAAUCAACUUGCUAGCAAUACUAGAUACAUUUCAUCUUUGCAAAAAUCUGAUAUAUUUGGUGCAAUUUCUGAAUGAUUUGAUUUCGAUUUUGAGCUAUCAUGCAACUUAGUUAAAACAUGCAUUUUACUUCAAAAACUAAGUUUUGGAACAAAGAGUUCAUGUUUUAAAAGUUUGUAUAAAUUCCAAACAGAUUGUAAAUUUCCAUCGAGUAGGUGCGCGUGUUGAGCGGCUACUGAACUUGUGCGGCUGCUGCUUUUGGACUGCCCUGGAAGCACGUCAUUAUAGAUGGCAAAAAUCUGUAACCUAUAUAACUCCUGUUUGUUCUGACUUCUUGUUUCUCUACAACGGCCAAAUCCCGGCACACCUGAUAGUUCAAACUUACACCUGGCCUGCGACCAACUGCCCCCGCCUCUACAAGCUCCUCUGGAAUGACUUGGUAGUAGCUGGGAUCCCCCUACAGCGGCAAAAUCCAGGCGCACCCAGCCGCCGCUCGUGAUCCCCGCUCCUUCAGCUCGACUUCGUCGGCGCCGUCAGUCCACAGGAGUAGGAGCGCGCGUGCCCGUCAACAAACAAGAACAGAAGAAAAAGCCAAGGUGGCGCACCAAAGAAAUCCGAGAAAGCUGAGGUUUUGCUGCGUAUCAAACAUGUAUUUGAAGGUGUAGACUUGGCAACGGUUGUGGUUAGUUCAACAACAGUUCAAUGACAAAAAGAACAUCAACUCAAAAGAAUUUAUGCAGGAGGUUUUGAGCCAAACAACUGAUAUUUCAUUGUGUUUUAAUUUUUUGGGUGCAUGAUUGAACAUGAGAAAAAAGUGAUGUAUGAUAUAUAUUAUGUUCUUGUUGGAGGUUCAAAGGUUGUCGUGUAGCAAGUUCCAA